Paramacrobiotus metropolitanus is the source of this 569-nucleotide long non-coding RNA. RefSeq lists it as uncharacterized. The transcript is spliced from 3 exons. The record is from RefSeq and is a predicted model, not a curated record. NCBI's taxonomy places the organism in Eukaryota, Metazoa, Tardigrada, Eutardigrada, Parachela, Macrobiotidae.
AUCAGCACAUGUGUGCACAUGAUGUUGUGUAUUUAUGUACACUGACAGCAGGGAAUUCAUACAUGCGCCCAUUUCAUGAUUAGCCCACUCACAUAAGCUCAGUUACUCUGCGACAUUCUCCUCUGCAAGAACCAUAAACGGCACUCGCAACAGGAAAUUCAGACUCCGAGCGAAACGAAACGCAUUUUCUGAAAAGGUCACCUCGACAGCUGGACUUGCUGAGCUGUGCACCGUGGCAAACAUUCGCUUGGACCGGGUGUACUGGUUAAUGUUUUGGUUAUUCCAAGUGAGUUUCUUAAUGGAAUAACUAAUCACGGUUUCUUAAUCAAUUAAAAGUUAAUGUAGUAUAUUAAUGAUGAUCCAGUCAAUAGCGUCUUCAGUUUACCAAAGGGUUCGUCCAGGGCCAACCCAAAUGCCCCAGUCACGCGUUGAUAAUCUGCAUAUGCUCCAGUGCACCUUACCAACUAAUAUUAUGACUCUGAUGGCAUGCACAUGCUAAUCUAAAGGAUGGACUCAGAUGCCUUUCGGAGACAACAGCCGCUGACGUCGGUCUGCUUGCGAUUUCCCAA